RNAcentral lists this transfer RNA (68 nucleotides) under Lissemys scutata (Burmese flap-shelled turtle). RNAcentral describes it as "tRNA-Tyr". It matches the Rfam family "tRNA". Rfam says of the family: Transfer RNA (tRNA) molecules are approximately 80 nucleotides in length. Their secondary structure includes four short double-helical elements and three loops (D, anti-codon, and T loops). Lineage: Eukaryota; Metazoa; Chordata; Testudines; Trionychidae. The record is from RNAcentral.
GGUAAGAUGGCUGAAUUAGGCGUAAGGCUGUAAACCUUUUAAAGGAGGUUAAAAUCCUCUUCUUAUCA